GACGAACGCUGGCGGCGUGCUUAACACAUGCAAGUCGAACGGAAAGGCCCUGCUUUUGUGGGGUGCUCGCGUGGCGAACGGGUGAGUAACACGAGAGUAACCUGCCCUUGACUUUGGGAUAACUUCAGGAAACUGGGGCUAAUACCGGAUAGGAUCUCCUGCUGCAUGGUGGGGGUUGGUAAGUUUCGGCGGUUGGGGCUGGACUCGCGGCUUAUCAGCUUGUUGGUUGGGUAUCGGCUUACCCAGGCAUUGACGGGUAGCCGGCCUGAGAGGGUGGCCGGCCAAAUUAGGACUGAGAUACGACACAGCCUCCUGCAGGAGGCAGGGGUGGGGAAUAUUGCACAAUAGGCGGGAGCCUGAUGCAACAACGCCACGUGCGGGAAGACGGGCUUGGGGUUGGAAACCGAUUUCGCCUGUGACGAAGCGUGAGUGACGGUAAUGGGUAAAGAAGCACCGGCUAACUACGUG
This 468-nucleotide ribosomal RNA is filed under the name uncultured bacterium. Its description in RNAcentral is "partial 16S ribosomal RNA". It matches the Rfam family "Bacterial small subunit ribosomal RNA", at positions 28 to 507 of the family's 1533-position model. The record is from RNAcentral.